CUACGGGUCGCUCCAGUGGGGAAUAUUGGACAAUGGACCAAAAGUCUGAUCCAGCAAUUCUGUGUGCACGAUGACGGUUUUCGGAUUGUAAAGUGCUUUCAACAGGGAAGAAGUUCUGACGGUACCUGUAGAAGAAGCGACGGCUAAAUACGUGCCAGCAGCCGCGGUAAUACGUAUGUCGCAAGCGUUAUCCGGAUUUAUUGGGCAUAAAAGGCAUCUAGGCGGCUUAGUAGUCUGAUGUGAAAAUGCGGGGCUCAACUCCUUAUUGCGUUGGAAACUACUAGGCUAGAGUAUUGGAGAGGUAGGCGGAACUACAUGUGUAGAGGUGAAAUUCGUAGAUAUAUGUAGGAAUGCCGAUGACGAAGGUAGCUUACUGGACAAUUACUGACGCUGAAGUGCGAAAGCUAGGGGAGCAAACAGGAUUAGAUACCCGAGUAGUC
This 440-nucleotide ribosomal RNA is filed under the name uncultured bacterium. RNAcentral's name for it is "partial 16S ribosomal RNA". It matches the Rfam family "Bacterial small subunit ribosomal RNA", at positions 339 to 795 of the family's 1533-position model. The record is from RNAcentral.